UGUGAUUCCCAAAGCUAUGCUUCUCUGGCC
Molecule: non-coding RNA, 30 nt
Filed under: Mus musculus (house mouse)
Lineage: Eukaryota; Metazoa; Chordata; Mammalia; Rodentia; Muridae
Source: RNAcentral